This 688-nucleotide long non-coding RNA is filed under the name Anser cygnoides (Swan goose). RNAcentral's name for it is "lncRNA (ENSACDG00005004069.1)". Lineage: Eukaryota; Metazoa; Chordata; Aves; Anseriformes; Anatidae. The record is from RNAcentral.
UACGUCACCUGCCUUGAACUGGGGAGCUGCAAGCACUUUGAUAAAUGGAUUGCCUUUCCUGGAACGAUGUCCCAACAUCAGCUAAUCAGGAUCUUCCAGCUCCUCCGUGUGACUGCCAAAGCACCACUCCUGUAAAUCAAGGAUGGCAAGAAGAAAACCCCAGCAGCAGCAACGCAGGGCUUGCUCGGUGGCAGCGGUGACCCGACACAGAUCCCCCCACCUCUGCUGGCUCGGUGUUUGGGGAAAAAGCCGGGAAACUCCAGCUAAAGGUGACCUGCCCCCAUCGUGUGAACGACCCCCGGGGGUCCGGGAGAUGGGUGACAUUCUGCCAGCCGCCUCGCAGCCUUGCCCCUGUUGUGACAGAGGAUCUGAUGCUGUUAUUCCCAAGCACGGGCUCCCCGCAAGGCGCCCGCAGCCCUCUCGGCACAGCAGCCCCGCGGCCAGGCCCCUUCCCCGCUGCCCGGCGAGGCGAGCUGUGCCGCCGUGUCCAGCGGAGCCCGAGCGGGAGAAACAAAGCGGCGGCAGAAAUUGGGAUGGAGGAAAAUGUUAUCUGAACCUUGACAGCAUUGCCAUGGUAACGGGGGACCCGUGGCGGCGGGCAGUGUGGCACGGCGGCAGGGCUGCGGUUUCCCCCGGGGAAGCCGGCUGGAGCCCUGGGAGGAUGCUCCGGGAGGUGACGGCGGGGUGA